UAUUUUGUACAAAUUACGAAACUGCCAAAACAUCAUGAUUGACAAGAUCGUUUUCUCUUGGUAGAGUUACCUCAAGCGCCGUUCUCUUUUUGCCAUUUUGAGAAGCGGACAAAUUCUCACAUUUUUCUCUUAAAUUCCAGAAAUAGUGAGACAUUAAUAUAUAGCACCUAUUUACUUUAUCCUUUAUGCAUUUUUCUACGUUUCGUUAAUUCAGUUUCCUUUAGUUAUUUUACUCAUUGUUAUUAAAAAGUUGACUGACUGACCGUCGCAGAGAAACAAUGUCGCGUUAUGUCAGUGUUACAGUUCCUUGUCCUUUUGUGUUUAAUGGCCUCAUAUUUAUAAUACAGACAGAUGGGAGUCACAGCAGACACAUUAAUCGAGAAGCAUAUAAAAUCAAGAUACGCCGAAUGCAAGAAGAUUCGUCAAUUUAAAGCGAAUUUUAUAGAAAAAACUGGAAAUUAGUCCUUAUAGCACUUGUUAAAAGGUUUUCAAUCCGUCACAGAACAAUCUCAAGGAAGCCCCAGUAGGCCACAGGCUUACGACCUUGGAUGCAUUAAUUCGGAUACGGUGGAGAUUACUGCUUUUGACAAAUCAACAUCUUAUCAUCAACCUUAAAAGAAACCUCUGUUGACGGCCAUGAUCUCAGUUUUGUGAGGAGAACCAAAGAGCACCUUCUACAAGCAGGAACAGUGAGUGAGCCUUAGAAUUCUCGUUCUUGUUACGAGUGUCAGCUUGUCACUACUAUUACCUAUUAUGAAAUUAGACAU
Long non-coding RNA from Macrobrachium nipponense, 767 nucleotides. RefSeq lists it as uncharacterized. The transcript has 3 exons. The record is from RefSeq and is a predicted model, not a curated record. Lineage: Eukaryota; Metazoa; Arthropoda; Malacostraca; Decapoda; Palaemonidae.